Non-coding RNA from Lonchura striata (white-rumped munia), 1097 nucleotides. Lineage: Eukaryota; Metazoa; Chordata; Aves; Passeriformes; Estrildidae. The record is from RefSeq and is a predicted model, not a curated record.
CGCAGCCAGCCCGGCCGGGCGCUGCCCCGCGCCGCUCCAGCGCCGCGCCGUGCGGGGGGGCCGCCCGCUGCAUCCCGCUGCCUGCGGCUGCACCAACGCGCUCCCAGCACGCCCACGGCCGCCAACACAAUGGAAACGCAGCCGAGAGGGACAGGAAGUUUGCCUGGGCUGGAAAGACCAGAUCACUCAUCACAUUAUGGCCCAUCUGCACUCUGUUCAUGGGGAAUAUUGCUGGUGUUACUUAAGGGCUGGUGCUUUUGAAUAUUAUCUCCAGUAUUUUGUUAUAAAUUUACCACUGUAGCUACAGUGAGAAACAACACCUUCAGCUUCUUGCUUCCAACAGCGCAACAUGAGGCUGUACCUGGGACCCGUCACAGGGUGAAAAAAACCCAAACGGUUACAAAUGGCUCCUGCUUCUGCUCUAAUGAUUUACAGCACUGAACUUAACUGUGGCAUGAAGGUCAUCCACAAGUACAUCAAUCUCUGCUUCCAGAUGUGGACAAAGCAUCCUUCCAACUGAAAAUCAGUCAAAAGAGUGAUCACAAUGACUGAAGCUUGGGAACUUGCAGUAAACUGCAACCAGGAUCAAUUUUGCAGGCUGAACAUAAAAUCAUGCCUCAUCUCCAAAUGCCAUGGAAGAUAACAGAAAAAAAGGAGUCUUCUUCAUAUACAUCACGCGAGAGGCCGAAAUCAGAAAUCUUCAUUUUGCGCCCUUCUGCCACCAGCACGUUCCUGGCUGCUAAAUCCCGAUGCACAAGCUUUUGGAAGGAAACAACAGGAGUGUUUAUGCUUCUUGUGGGGAACCAGCUGCUUGCUCCACGUCUAUCACACGCUGGGAUCACCCCUGUCUGCCCUACCUUCAUUUCUGCAAGAAUUCUUCAGACUGACAAGCUUCCUCUUUGAGUGCACUGAGGCUUGAAGGAGAUCUCUAGUUAUAAAGACACCAUAGGUCAGAGAUAACCCUUCUUCUUCCUCAUCCUUAAUCUCUCUGACACACAGAACUGGCCUGGACAGUUCCUCCAGUGUCAUUACUGGGCAUUGACAAGGAUGUGUUCAUCCUGAUUUAAGGAUAAUAAAAACAAGUUUGGCUUCUGCUC